This 20-nucleotide microRNA is filed under the name Drosophila pseudoobscura pseudoobscura. RNAcentral's name for it is "mir-959-RA". Lineage: Eukaryota; Metazoa; Arthropoda; Insecta; Diptera; Drosophilidae. The record is from RNAcentral.
UUAGUACUUGGGUUGAUAAA